UUUUCAUUGGAGAGUUUGAUCCUGGCUCAGGACGAACGCUGGCGGCGUGCUUAACACAUGCAAGUCGAACGGAAAGGCCCUGCUUUUGUGGGGUGCUCGAGUGGCGAACGGGUGAGUAACACGUGAGUAACCUGCCCUUGACUUUGGGAUAACUUCAGGAAACUGGGGCUAAUACCGGAUAGGAGCUCCUGCUGCAUGGUGGGGGUUGGAAAGUUUCGGCGGUUGGGGAUGGACUCGCGGCUUAUCAGCUUGUUGGUGGGGUAGUGGCUUACCAAGGCUUUGACGGGUAGCCGGCCUGAGAGGGUGACCGGCCACAUUGGGACUGAGAUACGGCCCAGACUCCUACGGGAGGCAGCAGUGGGGAAUAUUGCACAAUGGGCGGAAGCCUGAUGCAGCAACGCCGCGUGCGGGAUGACGGCCUUCGGGUUGUAAACCGCUUUCGCCUGUGACGAAGCGUGAGUGACGGUAAUGGGUAAAGAAGCACCGGCUAACUACGUGCCAGCAGCCGCGGUGAUACGUAGGGUGCGAGCGUUGUCCGGAUUUAUUGGGCGUAAAGGGCUCGUAGGUGGUUGAUCGCGUCGGAAGUGUAAUCUUGGGGCUUAACCCUGAGCGUGCUUUCGAUACGGGUUGACUUGAGGAAGGUAGGGGAGAAUGGAAUUCCUGGUGGAGCGGUGGAAUGCGCAGAUAUCAGGAGGAACACCAGUGGCGAAGGCGGUUCUCUGGGCCUUUCCUGACGCUGAGGAGCGAAAGCGUGGGGAGCGAACAGGCUUAGAUACCCUGGUAGUCCACGCUGUAAACGGUGGGUACUAGGUGUGGGGUCCAUUCCACGGGUUCCGCGCCGUAGCUAACGCUUUAAGUACCCCGCCUGGGGAGUACGGCCGCAAGGCUAAAACUCAAAGGAAUUGACGGGGCCCCGCACAAGCGGCGGAGCAUGCGGAUUAAUUCGAUGCAACGCGUAGAACCUUACCUGGGUUUGACAUGGAUCGGGAGUGCUCAGAGAUGGGUGUGCCUCUUUUGGGGUCGGUUCACAGGUGGUGCAUGGCUGUCGUCAGCUCGUGUCGUGAGAUGUUGGGUUAAGUCCCGC
Molecule: ribosomal RNA, 1084 nt
Filed under: Xanthomonas citri pv. citri
Lineage: Bacteria; Pseudomonadati; Pseudomonadota; Gammaproteobacteria; Lysobacterales; Lysobacteraceae
Description: bacterial SSU rRNA
Rfam family: Bacterial small subunit ribosomal RNA
Source: RNAcentral